CCUGGGAGAGCUGUGUGUCUGUGUGUGGGUUGCAGUCCUUGACAAUGAAGGAAGGGGCUUGAAAAAGUGUUUAAAGGCAAGAGACUAACCCUGACUUACCUCCACUCCUAUCAUGGACCAACCUUUCUGUGGAUCCACACCUCCCUUCAUCUGCAGUCCCACUCAUGAGGGAUCCCUACUCACCCUUUGUCUGAAAAAGGACACACAUCCUUCAUCUGAACUUCUCACCAAACGGGCUGCAGCCCAAGGCACCAUCCCACACAGGGAUAGGCAGAUAUCUCCGAUUUUUAAGGUUGUGAUAAAAAUCCUGGUGAAGAAAUGGAAUUGCAGCAGCAAGGGAAAACAAGGCAUCUCAAGCAACUAAAAAAAAUCUGAACACA
Melospiza melodia melodia is the source of this 380-nucleotide long non-coding RNA. RefSeq lists it as uncharacterized. NCBI's taxonomy places the organism in Eukaryota, Metazoa, Chordata, Aves, Passeriformes, Passerellidae. The transcript has 3 exons. The record is from RefSeq and is a predicted model, not a curated record.